GAUGAACGCUGGCGGCGUGCUUAACACAUGCAAGUCGAACGGAAAGGCUCCUGCUUGCAGGGGUACUCGAGUGGCGAACGGGUGAGUAACACGUGGGUGAUCUGCCCUGCACUUCGGGAUAAGCCUGGGAAACUGGGUCUAAUACUGGAUAGGACGAUGGUUUGGAUGCCAUUGUGGAAAGUUUUUUCGGUGUGGGAUGAGCUCGCGGCCUAUCAGCUUGUUGGUGGGGUAAUGGCCUACCAAGGCGUCGACGGGUAGCCGGCCUGAGAGGGUGUACGGCCACAUUGGGACUGAGAUACGGCCCAGACUCCUACGGGAGGCAGCAGUGGGGAAUAUUGCACAAUGGGCGCAAGCCUGAUGCAGCGACGCCGCGUGGGGGAUGACGGCCUUCGGGUUGUAAACUCCUUUCGCUAGGGACGAAGCGCAAGUGACGGUACCUGGAGAAGAAGCACCGGCUAACUACGUG
Molecule: ribosomal RNA, 466 nt
Filed under: uncultured bacterium
Lineage: Bacteria
Description: partial 16S ribosomal RNA
Rfam family: Bacterial small subunit ribosomal RNA
Source: RNAcentral